Molecule: unclassified non-coding RNA, 409 nt
Filed under: plant metagenome
Description: partial contains small subunit ribosomal RNA, internal transcribed spacer 1, and 5.8S ribosomal RNA
Rfam family: Group I catalytic intron (bases 2-215)
About the family: Group I catalytic introns are large self-splicing ribozymes.
Source: RNAcentral
UUUCCGUAGGUCGCUAGAGUUCAGCCUACCAAAGCAAACCUUUCAAAACUGCUAGUCUCUCCCCGAGGCGACACGCUCAAUGUUGCGGAGAGGCCCUCUUUUCAGAGGGUAAUCCGCAGCCGGCCCCCUAAAGGCUGGUUCAGAGACUCAAUGAGUGUGGGUUUGGCCUUUUGGCCAGGCUUAAGAUAGAGCCCGUCCCUGUAGGCAACUGCGGGGGAUGAACGGAACCUGCGGAAGGAUCAUUAAAGAAUCGGUGACCCUCGCGGUCCCAUUCUCACCCUUUGUAUACCAAACUGCAGUUGCUUUGGCUGGCCUUCGCGGGCCGGCCAGAGGACUCAAACCCUUGAAUCUUUGCUGUCUGAGUACUAUAUAAUAGUUAAAACUUUCAACAACGGAUCUCUUGGUUCUG